This 838-nucleotide long non-coding RNA is filed under the name Gallus gallus (chicken). The record is from RNAcentral. Lineage: Eukaryota; Metazoa; Chordata; Aves; Galliformes; Phasianidae.
CUGAAGAGGAGUCCUGAACAAAACAAAAUCAAUAUUCAUUUUCCAGGAAAAUACAGUAUAAUCAGAACUUUAAACACAUGCUUCUCUCAUCUGUGUUAAGGCCUAGGAGACAGAUGUGCUUUAAUAAAAGCAGACAGUAUGAAGAAAAGUCCUUCCACUUUUCUCUUCAAAUUCCUGUAACAGCUCAUCUAUUUCAUUUUCCAUGUCUUCUGUGUGCUGUAUACACUGGCAGAGCUCACAGAUAAGGAAGGCACCCAGCGUUGCCUCCUCAUGGUUAUCCUGAAUGUCCACAUUGAUCACAUGCACUGGCUGACAUGUCUCUUGCUCUCUGGAAUUUAAGUCUUCUACUACUUGAUCAUAGACUCUUUCUUCACACGUUAGGAUCAAAUCAAAAACGUCUUUGCAGUUCUGGAAUCUCUCCGGCCGUGGCUUGAUUCUCUUAUUUCUGUCCAACAUAUGUAAAAUCCCAUUCUGUGUGUAUAGUUCUUUGUCUUUCCUAAGCAGAUCAUUGUACAUCUGAUCAUAUGUUGUUUUGAAAUCAUAAACAUUUGGCUUGUCCGGUGCUGGUCCUGGCAGUUUCACGUGAGUCCCUGUUCCAAAGGAUCGGACGCUGAAUCCUCGUUUGCUGAGGAUAUUGUGUGCCUCCAUGCUGCGGUUCUGGUUGCUCGAGCACACCACGGCCACACGGAGCGGCGAAGAAGGCAUGGCGGCGCAGGGAAGAGCCCAGCUCGUUCCCCACGGCUCCCAAGCCUGCGCUACCCCGCCGGCGGCUCACACAAAAUGGCGGCCGCGGCGCGGCGGCGGGCGGGGCCGGGACGUGUCAGCAGGGCAGCGCCGC